This 805-nucleotide unclassified non-coding RNA is filed under the name Zea mays. Its description in RNAcentral is "misc RNA Zm00001eb195730". Lineage: Eukaryota; Viridiplantae; Streptophyta; Magnoliopsida; Poales; Poaceae. The record is from RNAcentral.
CACGUACACUUGACAUGAAAAUGGCUCUUCUAACAAGCAGAUGUGCCCCUCGGCUGCCUCUGCGGAUCUGUCACACUGCUAGGGCUAGGGGAGGGCUGCUGGUGCCGCCUCAGCUGCUGCUGCCUCGUCAGGAUAACUGGAAGAAGAAGCUGCUACCACUGCAGCGCCCGCCCGCCCCUGCGCACCCGCGGCGGCUGUUCUGCUCGUUCAGCGAUUUUCUGAAGGCAGCGGAAGCCGGUCCAGCGCGUCAUGGCGCGCUACUGUCGUUCGCCGUGGCCCGGAACAGGCUCCAGGACGCCGUGGCGGGGAACCACCGGGACCGGGCGCUGGAAGCCCUUGCGGAGCUCAAGGCGUUCGCCGGCAGCGAGCACUACUACGGCGACGGCUACAGAGCGACGGAGCUUCUCUUGGCGGCACUGUCGCCUUUGGCUCGGCUGUGCAAGGGCCAAGGACUAGUAGUCGACGACGACGGCGCCGUGGUGACUAAGGAAUCACUGGCGGUGGCAUGCCUGCUGCUGCGGAACGCUUCUGCGGAGAUCGGCGCCACACUGUGCGAGGAAAUCUCGCAGGAGGAGGACGUCAAAUCCAGCUUGGAGAGGAUCCGAGACCGAAGUGGUUGUGAUUGUGACGAGGUGCGCGAGCUAGCAAACGAGAUUCUCGCACGGCUACCCUCAACUCCAAAUUAACUAGGCUCAGUCUGUCUAUUGCUUACGCGAUUUCACCUCCAUCGUGUGCUUCGAUCGAGAGCCUCACUUGUAUUUUCCCUUUCUUUUUUCUAAUAAAAAAGUCGACCAUCGUGUGAUAU